UGGUCCCCAUGAAAACGGGCAGCCAAGGGGGCUCGGGGGGCCCCUGGAGGCCUCUGUACCCCACUUGAGAAAGGGUGGCAGUGGGGCAGCAGGCCUGGGGCCCCCAGGGCUCCACCGUUCCUGCUUGGGGACCUGAGAGGUGCAC
This is a microRNA precursor of Equus asinus (donkey), 145 nucleotides long. NCBI's taxonomy places the organism in Eukaryota, Metazoa, Chordata, Mammalia, Perissodactyla, Equidae. The record is from Ensembl.